AGAGGUCAGUGAGGACAAGCAUGGCUAAAUCUCGUGUGAAGGUUUAUUUGUUUGCCAUUUUCAUUAUCUUCAUCCUUAAUAUCGACAUGGCAACGGGGAAGAGUUGCAGUUUUCUGAGCAAAACAUGGCUUGGGAGAUGUGAAGUAUCAGCCCACUGCGACAGCAAAUGUAAGGAUUGGGAGCAAGCGGGAGGUGGAGAAUGUCGCGGGCGUUGGUCAAGCAAAUGCUAUUGCUAUUAUGAAAAAUGUCCACCAACCUUAUAAAUAAAGUAUUUUGUAUUAUAAACUCAUUAAAAUGAACAAUAGCAAAAUAUAGGCAUCUGGGUUUUAAUUAUUUUGUGGACGUAGAUCAUAAACCGAAUCACGUAAAUUCAUUGUAUCCAUUUUAUUAUUUCACUAUUGUCUUUAUUUUUCUAUUCGAUUAUGUAUUCUUUCAAAUAUCGUAAGUAUACAUGCAUAUGUUAGUAUCAAAG
Long non-coding RNA from Alnus glutinosa, 472 nucleotides. RefSeq lists it as uncharacterized. Lineage: Eukaryota; Viridiplantae; Streptophyta; Magnoliopsida; Fagales; Betulaceae. The transcript has 2 exons. The record is from RefSeq and is a predicted model, not a curated record.